UACGAGGGGGGCAAGCGUUGUUCGGAAUUAUUGGGCGUAAAGGGCGCGUAGGCGGUGCGGUAAGUCACCUGUGAAAACUCUGGGCUCAACUCAGAGCCUGCAGGCGAAACUGCCGGGCUAGAGUCCGGAAGAGGUGAGUGGAAUUCCUGGUGUAGCGGUGAAAUGCGCAGAUAUCAGGAGGAACACCGAUGGCGAAGGCAGCUCACUGGGACGGUACUGACGCUGAGACGCGAAAGCGUGGGGAGCAAACAGG
RNAcentral lists this ribosomal RNA (253 nucleotides) under uncultured bacterium. Its description in RNAcentral is "partial 16S ribosomal RNA". It matches the Rfam family "Bacterial small subunit ribosomal RNA", at positions 524 to 776 of the family's 1533-position model. The record is from RNAcentral.